Molecule: ribosomal RNA, 484 nt
Filed under: uncultured bacterium
Lineage: Bacteria
Description: partial 16S ribosomal RNA
Rfam family: Bacterial small subunit ribosomal RNA
Source: RNAcentral
AUUGAACGCUGGCGGCAGGCCUAACACAUGCAAGUCGAGCGGAUGAAGGGAGCUUGCUCCUGGAUUCAGCGGCGGACGGGUGAGUAAUGCCUAGGAAUCUGCCUGGUAGUGGGGGAUAACGUCCGGAAACGGGCGCUAAUACCGCAUACGUCCUGAGGGAGAAAGUGGGGGAUCUUCGGACCUCACGCUAUCAGAUGAGCCUAGGUCGGAUUAGCUAGUUGGUGGGGUAAAGGCCUACCAAGGCGACGAUCCGUAACUGGUCUGAGAGGAUGAUCAGUCACACUGGAACUGGGACACGGUCCAGACUCCUACGGGAGGCAGCAGUGGGGAAUAUUGGACAUGGGGCGAAAGCCUGAGCCAGCCAUGCCGCGUGUGUGAAGAAGGUCUUCGGAUUGUAAAGCACUUUAAGUUGGGAGGAAGGGCAGUAAGUUAAUACCUUGCUGUUUUGACGUUACCAACAGAAUAAGCACCGGCUAACUUCGUG